RNAcentral lists this ribosomal RNA (305 nucleotides) under uncultured bacterium. Its description in RNAcentral is "bacterial SSU rRNA". It matches the Rfam family "Bacterial small subunit ribosomal RNA", at positions 335 to 658 of the family's 1533-position model. The record is from RNAcentral.
UGCCUACGGGGGGCAGCAGUGGGGAAUAUUGCACAAUGGGGGGAACCCUGAUGCAGCGACGCCGCGUGGGUGAAGAAGUCAUUCGUGACGUAAAGCCCUAUCAGCAGGGAAGAAAAUGACGGUACCUGACUAAGAAGCCCCGGCUAACUACGUGCCAGCAGCCGCGGUAAUACGUAGGGGGCAAGCGUUAUCCGGAUUUACUGGGUGUAAAGGGGGCGCAGACGGCGAUGCAAGCCAGGAGUGAAAGCCCGGGGCUCAACCCCGGGACUGCAUUUGGAACUGUGUGGCUAGAGUGUCGGAGAGGG